Molecule: ribosomal RNA, 497 nt
Filed under: uncultured bacterium
Lineage: Bacteria
Description: partial 16S ribosomal RNA
Rfam family: Bacterial small subunit ribosomal RNA
Source: RNAcentral
GAUGAACGCUGGCGGCGUGCCUAAUACAUGCAAGUCGAGCGAACAGACGAGGAGCUUGCUCCUCUGACGUUAGCGGCGGACGGGUGAGUAACACGUGGAUAACCUACCUAUAAGACUGGGAUAACUUCGGGAAACCGGAGCUCAUACCGGAUAAUAUAUUUAACCGCAUGGUUCAAUAGUGAAAGACGGUUUUGCUGUCACUUAUAGAUGUAUCCGCGCCGCAUUAGCUAGUUGGUAAGGUAACGGCUUACCAAGGCAACGAUGCGUAGCCGACCUGAGAGGGUGAUCGGCCACACUGGAACUGAGACACGGUCCAGACUCCUACGGGAGGCAGCAGUAGGGAAUCUUGCGCAAUGGGCGAAAGCCUGACGGAGCAACGCCGCGUGAGUGAUGAAGGUCUUCGGAUCGUAAAACUCUGUUAUUAGGGAAGAACAAAUGUGUAAGUAAAUAUGCACGUCUUGACGGUACCUAAUCAGAAAGCCACGGCUAACUACGUG